Molecule: ribosomal RNA, 253 nt
Filed under: uncultured bacterium
Lineage: Bacteria
Description: partial 16S ribosomal RNA
Rfam family: Bacterial small subunit ribosomal RNA
Source: RNAcentral
UACGUAGGGGGCGAGCGUUGUCCGGAAUUACUGGGCGUAAAGCGUGCGCAGACGGUUGCGUAAGUCAGAUGUGAAAGCCCCGGGCUCAACCUGGGAAUUGCAUUUGAGACUGCGUAGCUAGGGUGCGGAAGAGGGAAGCGGAAUUUCCGGUGUAGCGGUGAAAUGCGUAGAUAUCGGAAGGAACACCAGUGGCGAAAGCGGCUUCCUGGUCCAGCACCGACGUUCAGGCACGAAAGCGUGGGGAGCAAACAGG